Molecule: long non-coding RNA, 6871 nt
Filed under: Lynx pardinus (Iberian lynx)
Lineage: Eukaryota; Metazoa; Chordata; Mammalia; Carnivora; Felidae
Source: RNAcentral
CUAAAAGCUAGCUUUCUUUAAUCCUAGUGUGUUUUCCCCCAAUUUAGUCUUUUCUAAACAUUUACCUCUGGUUUAGAAUACAAAAUCUUAUAUCCUGAGAAUCACAGAAUACUCAAAAGAUGUCUUAUUGAAACUGGGGUGAUCGUAGGUUUUUAUUUGUCUUGUGCUUCCGGAAAUGAAUGAUAGUUUAGUUGAUAUUGGAAGUUAGUGUGUUUUUAUAUUUUUAGAGUGGGGAAACAUACUAAACUUUGAGGGGUUUUUUGGUUGCUGGUUUUUUACCAUAUGUUAUAUUACUAAAUUCCACUUUGAUACAGAAUUUAAAUUUUGCUACUUCUCAAAAUCAGUUAAGACUUUUCAGUUUUACCUGCCCAUCUUUACAUGGCUACUGUAAUGUAUGUUAACUCUGCAUAUGGCAAAUCCUGUACCGAAUUAUAUCAUCUUUCCUGAGUGCGUGUGUGUGUGUGUGUGUGUGUGUGCUUAUAGUAUGUAGGAAGAGGGUGAUGUUUAAAUACUUAUCAAAACAUGAGCUAAAAAAGAGGUAACUUGUAAUCCAUUGCUAUCUUUGUAUUCAAAAGCUGUUCAUUCCCAUGAUACUGGAUCUAUACUGGUUGUAGUGUUAUUUAUAGGCCUCACCUCAGUUGUUUGUAGUUUUAGCAGCCCUCCCCUCACAUUUUCCCACAGGAUUCCAUAAUUUGUAAUGUUAAGCUAACCCAUCUCUGUAUGGCACUUCUAAAAACUAUCUCUAAGUCAGGAAUAUAAGGUUAAGUAACCAGUAGAACAUGUUACAUAGUAAGUAUAACUAGCUUUUGAAGAUUAUAUCACCCCAAACCUUAUCUUUGCUCCUGCAUCUUGUAGAGCUCAAACAGAUGGACGCACAGCAGUCACAGCACGCUUGUUUAUGUAAGCACAUAGAUCCAUGACAGUUAAGUGCUGGUUUUCAAGUAUUAUGUUCAUUGCAGAGAGACGAUCUACAUGAAUGUAAUAGAAGGGGCACAUCAUACUAGGUUAUUAGGAAAGGUAAAAUUGGAAAUGUGGAAUUGUAGAAGAAAAACGUAUGCUUUGGAGAUCUGGAAAUAGAAAUCCAAGGAGUCUAGUUUGUUCCCUUAAUAGCAAGAGAUUGGAUACAUUAAACUACAGGUGGGGUCAGCUUCCACCCCAGGCUUGUGCCUUCCUGCAUCUUCUUGUUUUACAUAGAGAUCUCUUUAAGUUAAGUGUUGCUGUUAUUUGUGAACUUCUUACUAGCACAGGUUCCACUUAAAUGUUAAUACUCUUUGCCAUUCAUGUUUUCAUUUCAUUGAACAAGAGCUGUCAGCAGAGUUCUGGGUACGUAGAGGAUAUUGUGCUGCAUCAGUCUCACUGGGUGCAGAGCAGAGUCCCUUCUGAGCAUAGCAAAGUAAGGAAUGAAAGUUACGUGCUGAGUUUGUUGGAUUAUUGGUAGCCUGUUACUGAGUUGUAUUUUAAGAGUCUAUGCAACUAAAGCACCUGGACCCAUAAUCUGCAGUUGGACUGCUGAAUUCACGUAACCCCGAUUGGUUUCAUGGGAUUGUGCAGCUCAGGACACAUACCAUCACCGAGGACAGCAUUUUCUUCAGCUGAUUCUGCAAAACGAGAAUUUCAAAUUCUCUGCAAAUCUGAAUUUCAUACAUAAGAUGCAGCUCUUUUUCUCCCCUUUGCCUUUGUCAUUUCGUUUUUAUUGGAAUUAACUCUUUUGUAAAGAGCUUCUUCUCUCCCCCCUCUGACACUCCCAUUUGUACCGUUUUGUUUUUUAUUUUUUGGGUUCUUUGUCUUUUUUUUUUUUUUGCAUUCUUUUAUUUUGCACUUCAUUCUCUGCAUUAGUAAGUACUAAAUUAAAAGUGGCAGUCCAAAAGUAUGAUAAAUUUCCUCUUCUCCCUUUCCUUAUUGCCUACAUGUUCAAUAGCUAAUAAAAUAGUUGAUUAAUUUCUUUGAGUGCCUUUUUGGGGGUAUAUACUUUUUUUUUUAAUGUGCAUAUGUGAUUUUGAUAUGUUUUUAUUUUCUUUCACUUUGUAAACUUUUUCUGAUAGUGAAAUUCUGUCCUGUGAAAAAUCUCUUCCACCUGCCUAUAAUUGCCUGUGUGGGCAAUAGGUACAGAGUAGUUAUGUGAUGUUUCUUUUUUGGAAGUUGAUGGUGAUAUUGAGGGGAGAGCAGAGUAUGUUCUUUUUAAAAAUGUGUACAAGAUGUUUUUGCUGCUAUCUUGUGGGUGUCAUUUCAUUUUGCACUUAAUUCAUCUUUCCCAUGGAUAUGUAAAUAUCUAAUGAACUGUGGAGGUCCAGAAGUAGGACACAUGUCCCACUUACCCCUCUCCAUAUUGCCUGCAUGGACAGUAGCUAAUAGAGUAGCUGUGGGUGCUCUUGCCUUGAUCUAGUCUUGGGGGCUCGGGCUUGUAUAUCAUUCUUUCAGGUGUGUGUGUGUAUAUAUGUUAUGCUACUUUUUUACAUUUCAUUUUUAUAUGUCCCUUUGCAUGUAUGCAUAUAUACUUAAUGAAAAUUGAAGUUCAGAAUAUGACAGAUUUCCUCUUUUCUCUUUUCCUUAUUGCCUCCUUGGGCAGUAGCUAAUACUUUGUUUUGUUUUGUUUUGUUUUUGAGGGGGGAUGAGAAGUAGGGUAUGUACUUAAUGUAUAUAAAUAAGUUUGCUACUACUUUGUAUUACUUAAUUCAUUUCGUACGUUGUCCUUCUCAGAGGACAUUAAAGUACCUAAUGAGACGUGGAGGUCCGGAUGUAUGACAAUCUCCUCUUGUACCCUUCCCUUAUUGCCCGUGUGGGCAAUAGCUAGUAGAAUAGUUGUUGGAGUGGGGUUUGGGGGGAGGGUGGGGGUGGGGACAGGGAUGUGUACAUAUUGUAUAUACCUGUUUUUACUACCAAGUUGUAUUAUUUCAUUGGGUGCCCACACUGGCAGGUACCCAAUGAACCAUGGAGGUCCGGAUGUAUAACAAUCUCCUCUUCUCCCCUUCCCUUAUUGCCUGCAUGGGCAAUGGCUAGUAGAGUAGUUAAUUAGUUUCAGGGGUUCUUUUGUGGGCUCGGGGAUAAAUACUUUUAAAUAUAUAUAUACAUGUAUAUAUAUAUGUGUGUGUGUGCGCACACACACACACAUUUUUACUUCCUUAUUACAGUAUUUCACUGGGUACCCAGUCCUUCACUUGGACCCGUAGGUUCCUAAUGAACCGUGGAGCAAUCUCCUCUUCUCCCUUUCCCUUUUUUAUCUACAUAGGCAAUAAUUUUAAAGUAGUUCAGUUUUUUUGAAGUUUUGGUGUGUGGGAAGGGACAAAGGGCAGGAUAUAUACUUUUGAAAACUGUAUAUACAGUGUUUGUUACUAUAUUGUGUUAUUCCAUUUUGUACCGCGUCCCUUACUUGGACGUGUGGGUACCUAAUGAGACGUGGAGGUCCGGUUGUAUGAAAAUCUCCUCUUUUCCCCUUUCCUUAUUGCCUCUGUGGGCAAUAGUUUAGAGUAGUUUUAGAUUAAUUUUUUACUCUACCGCUCCCUCCCUUGAGAGGGUGGGGAUAUAUACUCUUUUCAAUGUAUAUGAAUGUUUUUGUUCCUUUUUUCUGUUAGUUCAUUUUGUACCUAGAUCUCCAUGGAUAUUUAGGUACAUGAUGAAAAUUAAGGUUCAUUCUAUGAAGAAAAUCUCCUCUUGGCCCCUUCCCUUGUUGCCUAUCUGGGCAAUGACUAGUGGUAUAGUUGUUUAGAUGGGUUUUUUUUAGCAGGGUGGUGGGGGAUUUCUGGGUUUACGGUUUUAAAAGUGUAUAUAAAUGUCUGCUGCAUGUUUUUUGUUUGCUUUUUUGUUUUUGUGGCUUGCUCUUUUACUUCAACCAGGUUUGUUUGUUUGUUUGUUUGUUUGGAUUUGUAGAUCUCAAAUGUAGUGCAGAGGCCCAGAUCCGGAGACAUGAUAAACCUUUCUUCCCUUCCCUUAUAGCCUGUGCACAAUUGUAGGGCUUGGUUUCUGUUUUUUGUUUUAGAGGUUAUUAAUGGGGAAUGGGCUUAUUAGAUAAGAUAGGUGGUUUUUUAAAUGUAUAUAAAUGUUUCUGCCUCUUUUUGGUGUUCACUUCGUUUUGAAUCUAGUCCUUCUCAUGACUAUUUAGGUACUUCAUGAAAGUUGCGAUUGAUUCUAUGAACAAUCUCCCCUACUCCCCUUCCCUCAUUGCCUGGUGGGCAGUGGUAGAAGAAUAGAUGUUUUGUUUCUUUUUUUGGAGGGGUGGGGGGUGGGGGGAGUCUGUGUGUGUGUGUGUGUGUGUGUGUGUGUGUGUGUGUGAAUUUUUUAAUGUAUAUAAAUGUUUGCUACAUUUUGUGUGUUAUUUCACUUAGUAACCAGUCCUUUGCUGGGACUUGUAAGUACAUAAUGAAACACGGAGGUCCAUACGUAUGAUAAAUCUCCUCUGCUUCCCUUCCCUCACUGCCUGCAUUGGCAAUAGUUUUAUAAUUUGGGGUGUUUUUUUUAGGGGGAGAGAUAAUUUGGGUGGGUAGUGGGGAAAGGAUAAGGAUAGCAUACAAACUUUUAAAAAAUGUAUAUAAAUGUUUUCGUAUUAAUUGAUUUUGUACCUACUCUUAGCAUGGAUGUAUAGGUACUGAAUGAAAAUCGAGGAUCAGUGUAUGACAAAUCUCCCCUUCUCCCCUUUCCCUUAUUGCCUGUGUUGGCAAUAGUGAGUAGAAUAGUUGUGUAUUGUUUAUUUACUUGGCUUUUUUCUUUUUGGAGGGGUUUCUAUUUUCGGCAGGGGAAUAUUCUUAAUACAUAUGAAUAUAUUUCCUUUCAUUUUGUAUUUAGUUCUUCGCAUGGCUAUCUAUGUAGGGACCUAAAGGAAAUUGAGUUUCAUAAAUUGACAGUUCACUUCUUCCUUCCCCACAUAUUUCCUCAUUUAUCAGUGGCUAGUAUAGUUGUUGUUCUGUGCUUAUUUUGUUUUAUUCUCUAGGAAAUAUGCCUUUAAACGUAUAAAUAUAUUUAUGCGCAUAUCUAAUCUGCUUCCCUCUUUUUUUUUCAUUAUUUUUCGUUAAUACUUAGUCCCUUGCAGGGCUGUGCAUGGAUCUAACAAAAAUAAAGUCCCACCAGAUCCCUGUCCUGUGACUUGAGAGGCAUUGGGGUGGUGUAACUAAUGGCUAACAAAUGUACAGCAAAUAAGAUGGGAGCAGACACUUGGACAUGGUUGAGUUGUGAAAGCUAAUCAGGGUCAGCAUUUCUUACAUUGAUUGAAACUGAAGGAAAGGGUGAGACGGGACCUGUACUGUGGAAAUUCCAGAAAGGCAAGAGGAUCAUACUAAGUAAAAAGUGUGUUUAACGUUCAUUGCUGAUUAAUCUUUUAGUAACUGGUAAGCCAGUAAAAGUGCUGCCUAGAACUCAUUUGAAGACCCUUGAGAGUAGCUUCUUUGGGGGGCUGGAAUUCUGAUUUAUUUGCAGAAGUCUCUUGCAGUUCUAUAGAUAGCAUAUUCUUGUGUAGCCAAUAAAAAUUAUUUUGACUUUUGGAAUGAACUUUUUGAGUUAUUGCAGUGGUUCUAGUGAAUAACAACAUGGGCCCAAAAAUCAUUCCCUUAAGAAUUGGGGAGCUAGCCCUCCUGUCUUUCAACACCCAUCUAUGGGAAGGCAAGUUGGUCCUUUCUUACCCAGAGCUCUUCUGUGUGGCUGCAUCUCUCCCUUCCAUUCUCCAUUAGCUGGACCAUUCUUCUUCUUCUUCUUCUUCUUCUUCUUCUUCUUCUUCUUCUUCUUUCUUCUUUCUUCUUUCUUCUUUCUUCUUCUUCGCCUGCAGUAUUAGAUGUUAUACUCAAGUACACUUAAACAUGUAAGCCGGUGUUGCCUCAUCAGCUCUAUGUUUUUGCAUGCAUUUCAUAUAUCCAGACAUGUGUGUUCGCUUUCUUGAAUCAUAUUGACUCUUCAUCCACCACAUGGUAAAUGUUAGGACUCCACAUUUGUCUGUAUCAAAGAAAAUGCAUGUGUAAAAUCCCUCACUCCCUCCCUGCCUCCCUUUCUUUCCUCCUUGCUUUUUUCCUUCAAGCUUCUGAGCAAACUUUGUUUCUAAUGCUGAAGGUUUGCUAUAUUAUUUUGUUCUAUUAUAUAUAUUUUUUAGAAACGUUGCUAGAUAGGACUCCUAGAACAUUUGCGAAGAGAUGUCAUUUACCAUAUCAAAUUCUCAGGUCCUAGUAUUGAAAUAUUAGCCUGUACUUUGCUUAUUUAUACCUGCUGCUGUAGAAAAAACAAAAGUUUGUUCAUGACACAUGUAAUUAUGAUCAUAAAUAAGAGAGAAAGGGACACCUUUUUGAAAUUAGUCAUAGUAGUCAUUAGUGAUAUCUCUGAGCAGUUCUUAAUUUGAAAUACUUCAAAGAAGUAAAGAUCAUGGAUUAGCUGAAUGAAAUGCUCCAGAAGUUGCACUGUGUAAACCAUCAGUACAAUAAUACACUUGUGUAUGUAUGUGUGUGUGUGUGUGUAUGUGUGUAUAUAUAUAUAUAUAUAUAUAUAUAUAUAUAUGAAAUGAGAAUUACAGCAUAAUUGGAGCAUUUGCAUUAAUGAGCAAACUCAAGCUGAGACAAACUUAGUCUCCUAGCCGUCUUGAUUAAACCCAAGUGUUCCACGUUGCUAUGAAGAGUAGUAGUCUCUUUCAAACACUUUGAAAAGUAAUUAUUUGGAAACUUGUAAAACUAUUACGUUUUUGUAUUUAGACACCUAUACGGAUCUUCACUUCUUUGAAUCUGAGCUUGUGGGUGGAAUUCUAAAUUUGUAUCAUAACCUGUCUUUUGUGGAAAAUUUUGAAAACAGUAUGUGUAAUAUAAUAUAUAUGCAAAUUGUGUUGUGUCACUUGUAAAGGGAAAAGGCUUAUUUUUCUUUAUACUUCUGAUAACUUGUUUUGCAUAUGACCAGCACUGACUGAAAGGCA